Molecule: small RNA, 588 nt
Filed under: Pongo abelii (Sumatran orangutan)
Lineage: Eukaryota; Metazoa; Chordata; Mammalia; Primates; Hominidae
Description: retained intron
Source: RNAcentral
AGUGGUGCUGGGAGUGUCGUGGACGUCGUGCCGUUACUCGUAGUCAGGCGGCGGCGCAGGCGGCGGCGGCGGCAUAGCGCACAGCGCGCCUUAGCAGCAGCGGCAGCAGCAGCAGCAUCGGAGGUACCCCCGCCGUCGCAGCCCCCGCGCUGGUGCAGCCACCCUCGCUCCCUCUGCUCUUCCUCCCUUCGCUCGCACCAUGGCUGAUCAGCUGACCGAAGAACAGAUUGCUGAAUUCAAGGAAGCUUUCUCCCUAUUUGAUAAAGAUGGCGAUGGCACCAUCACAACAAAGGAACUUGGAACUGUCAUGAGGUCACUGGGUCAGAACCCAACAGAAGCUGAAUUGCAGGAUAUGAUCAACGAAGUGGAUGCUGAUGGUAAGAGCUUUAAAACCAUGAAUGAGGGCCAUUGUUGUGUGAUUCAAGUUCAGACAUGUUACAGGAUUGUCUUUCAGUUCCCUAGAGCAAAGCAAAUGUGCAAAGAUCCUUUCUGUGGUUGCCUUAGGGCCAUUAACAAUUAAAAUAGAAGAUGAUGGGCCUUGUGUCCAUCCUGCUUAGUGUCUAGAACGUUUUCUGCAUGGGAUCACUA